Molecule: ribosomal RNA, 360 nt
Filed under: Quasipaa exilispinosa (Hong Kong spiny frog)
Lineage: Eukaryota; Metazoa; Chordata; Amphibia; Anura; Dicroglossidae
Description: partial 12S ribosomal RNA
Rfam family: Bacterial small subunit ribosomal RNA
Source: RNAcentral
AUUCACACCCACCAACGCCAGGGUAUUACAAGCCUUAGCUUAAAACCCAAAGGACUUGACGGUGUCCCAUCCACCUAGAGGAGCCUGUUCCAUAAUCGAUAAUCCCCGCUAUACCUAACCACCCCUUGCCAAUCAGUCUGUAUACCUCCGUCGUAAACUUACCAUAUGAAUGCUUACAGUAAGUUUAAUGGCCACAAACACCAAUACGUCAGGUCAAGGUGCAGCUCAUGAGAUGGCGGACAAUGGGCUACAGUUUCUAUACUAGAAUAAACGAAACGCUGCAUGAAACACAGCCACGAAGGCGGAUUUAGUAGUAAAAAGAAAAUAGUGUGUUCUUUUUAACUAGGCCCUGGGACGUGU